GUGGGGAAUUUUGGACAAUGGGCGCAAGCCUGAUCCAGCAAUGCCGCGUGCAGGAAGAAGGCCUUCGGGUUGUAAACUGCUUUUGUACGGAACGAAACGGUCCGGGUUAAUACCCUGGGCUAAUGACGGUACCGUAAGAAUAAGCACCGGCUAACUACGUGCCAGCAGCCGCGGUAAUACGUAGGGUGCAAGCGUUAAUCGGAAUUACUGGGCGUAAAGCGUGCGCAGGCGGUUUUGUAAGACAGGCGUGAAAUCCCCGGGCUCAACCUGGGAAUUGCGCUUGUGACUGCAAGGCUGGAGUGCGGCAGAGGGGGAUGGAAUUCCACGUGUAGCAGUGAAAUGCGUAGAUAUGCGGAGGAACACCGAUGGCGAAGGCAAUCCCCUGGGCCUGCACUGACGCUCAUGCACGAAAGCGUGGGGAGCAAACAGGAUUAGAUACCCGGGUAGUCC
Molecule: ribosomal RNA, 450 nt
Filed under: uncultured bacterium
Lineage: Bacteria
Description: partial 16S ribosomal RNA
Rfam family: Bacterial small subunit ribosomal RNA
Source: RNAcentral